AAAACCGAAAUGGCAUCACUCAAGCAAGAGAAACCUACUUCCACUCAACCCACUGCCGGGCAGGCCAAGAAAGAGCCUGCUCCAAAAGCUUGUUGUACCACACCCAAAGCUCCAGCCUCCAAACCCGACCCUAAGAAGGCUGAGACAAAGCCUAGGGAGCUUAAGAAGAGGGUAAGUGCCUAAAUACAUCGAUCCAUAUAUUUUCAUAUUUAUUGGGCACCAAACAUGUGCUUAUUAACACCUUAAAUUUUGUUUUGCGACGGUUUUAUCAGACAACAGGAAGCAAGCCUGCAGCCAAGAAUUAGAUGAAAGAAACGGUGUGAGGCGAGGAGUGCAUGAAGAUGCUGAAUCACUGUGGUCCUCCAUAUUCUGAUAAUAAUAUGUC
This 385-nucleotide long non-coding RNA is filed under the name Malus domestica (apple). Its description in RNAcentral is "long non-coding RNA (MDOM_LNC011782)". Lineage: Eukaryota; Viridiplantae; Streptophyta; Magnoliopsida; Rosales; Rosaceae. The record is from RNAcentral.